AGCGAACGCUGGCGGCAGGCUUAACACAUGCAAGUCGAGCGGGCAUCUUCGGAUGUCAGCGGCAGACGGGUGAGUAACACGUGGGAACGUACCCUUCGGUUCGGAACAACUCUGGGAAACUGGAGCUAAUACCGGAUACGCCCUUAUGGGGAAAGGUUUACUGCCGAAGGAUCGGCCCGCGUCUGAUUAGCUAGUUGGUGGGGUAACGGCCUACCAAGGCGACGAUCAGUAGCUGGUCUGAGAGGAUGAUCAGCCACACUGGGACUGAGACACGGCCCAGACUCCUACGGGAGGCAGCAGUGGGGAAUAUUGGACAAUGGGCGCAAGCCUGGUCCAGCCAUGCCGCGUGAGUGAUGAAGGCCUUAGGGUUGUAAAGCUCUUUUGUCCGGGACGAUAAUGACGGUACCGGAAGAAUAAGCCCCGGCUAACUUCGUG
This 435-nucleotide ribosomal RNA is filed under the name uncultured bacterium. Its description in RNAcentral is "partial 16S ribosomal RNA". It matches the Rfam family "Bacterial small subunit ribosomal RNA", at positions 29 to 507 of the family's 1533-position model. The record is from RNAcentral.